CUCUCUCUCUCUCUCCCUCUUCCCUGUCUCUCUUUAAAUUUCAGUCUCUCUCUCUUCCUCUUUUACUCCAUUUCUUUUCGCCCUCGCUCUUUGUGAAUUUCAUGCAGUUAACUGAAUUAGUCUAAAAUAAUCUCUAAGUUGAAGUUGUAGUCUUUAUAUGCAUAGGAGUUGGUAACUAGCAUAUAAUAACUAUGACAACCGAUUGGCACAUUGUCUUCUGGAAUGUUUUUGACUUAUCAGUUGAAAGAUACAAGCUAAUGAUUUUGUUCGCUUGGUUCCUGGUCUGUGACACUAAACCGUAUUUUUUUCCCUUGAAUAUUCUCUCCUUUGAAAUUUAUAUCAAAGGGACAUGAAUUCAUCAAAACUUCUACCCACUUGUCUCUUUUAGGUUUUGAAAGAUACCUUGUCCUCGACUUUUAGGACUGAUAUUGGAAUAAGGAGAAUGGGAGAAAUUGAUGAAAA
This 462-nucleotide unclassified non-coding RNA is filed under the name Hevea brasiliensis (rubber tree). Lineage: Eukaryota; Viridiplantae; Streptophyta; Magnoliopsida; Malpighiales; Euphorbiaceae. The record is from RNAcentral.